Molecule: long non-coding RNA, 300 nt
Filed under: Mus caroli (Ryukyu mouse)
Lineage: Eukaryota; Metazoa; Chordata; Mammalia; Rodentia; Muridae
Description: lncRNA (MGP_CAROLIEiJ_G0034342.1)
Rfam family: Nuclear RNase P (bases 121-257)
Source: RNAcentral
CCUGAGCUGGGAACAAGAAGUAGGCUGGAGAGAUGGAGCAGUGAUUAAGAAUACUGACUGUUCUUCCAGAGGUCCUGAGUUCAAUUUCCAGCAACAACUUGGUGACUUCCUUUUUUCUCAACAUGCAGCCCUGAGUGAGCUCUCCCUGAGUGGGGAGGUGAGUUUUCAGAGAGCAGGGCUCCUUAGCUGGACAGACUAGGCAAGAGAGGCGCCAAGUGGACAGAUGUAUCUCUCACCAGAGCUUGGAACAGACUCCUGGUCAUUCACUUUGCUCAGUAAAUGGCUACCCUUCUUGCCAGG